RNAcentral lists this ribosomal RNA (492 nucleotides) under uncultured bacterium. Its description in RNAcentral is "partial 16S ribosomal RNA". It matches the Rfam family "Bacterial small subunit ribosomal RNA", at positions 36 to 507 of the family's 1533-position model. The record is from RNAcentral.
CUUUCCCUCUUUCUUUAGGCCUAACACAUGCAAGUCGAACGGCAGCACAGUAAGAGCUUGCUCUUACGGGUGGCGAGUGGCGGACGGGUGAGGAAUACAUCGGAAUCUACUUUUUCGUGGGGGAUAACGUAGGGAAACUUACGCUAAUACCGCAUACGACCUACGGGUGAAAGCAGGGGAUCUUCUGACCUUGCGCGAAUGAAUGAGCCGAUGUCGGAUUAGCUAGUUGGCGGGGUAAAGGCCCACCAAGACGACGAUCCGUAGCUGGUCUGAGAGGAUGAUCAGCCACACUGGAACUGAGACACGGUACAGACUCCUACGGGAGGAAGCAGUGGGGAAUAUUGGACAAUGGGCGCAAGCCUGAUCCAGCCAUACCGCGUGGGUGAAGAAGGCCUUCGGGUUGUAAAGCCCUUUUGUUGGGAAAGAAAAGCAGCAGGUUAAUACCCCGCUGUUCUGACGGUACCCAAAGAAUAAGCACCGGCUAACUUCGUG